AACAUUUCUUUUAGAUUAUUUUAUAAGUAAAGUCUGCCCACUGUUAAAAUAAAGGGCCGCGGUAUUUUGACCGUGCAAAGGUAGCAUAAUCAUUAGCCUUUUAAUUGGGGGAUGGAAUGAAUGGCUUAAUGAUUUUUCUCUAUUAUUUUUAUUAAAAAAUAAAUUUGAUUUUAAGUGAAAAAACUUAAUCAUUUUAAAUAGACGAUAAGACCCUAUAGAAUUUUAUUUUUUAUAGUAUUUAAUAUUAUUAAAAAAGUUUAAAUGGGGCAUUUUUUGACUAAUAAAAAUUUCUAAUUAACUAUUUAAAAAUAUCUUUUUUUUAAUAAAAUAAAAAAAUUACCUUAGGGAUAACAGCGUAAUAAUUUUUAAGAGUUCAUAUCGACAAAAUAGUUUGCGACCUCGAUGUUGAAUUAAAAUUCUUUUAUGGAGCAGCUUUUAUAAGAAGUAGUCUGUUCGACUAUUAAAUUUUUACAUGAUUUGAGU
This 483-nucleotide ribosomal RNA is filed under the name Tomocerus fopingensis. RNAcentral's name for it is "partial 16S ribosomal RNA". It matches the Rfam family "Bacterial large subunit ribosomal RNA", at positions 1812 to 2610 of the family's 2925-position model. Lineage: Eukaryota; Metazoa; Arthropoda; Collembola; Entomobryomorpha; Tomoceridae. The record is from RNAcentral.